This 482-nucleotide ribosomal RNA is filed under the name Scorpio fuliginosus. RNAcentral's name for it is "partial 16S ribosomal RNA". It matches the Rfam family "Archaeal large subunit ribosomal RNA", at positions 1908 to 2669 of the family's 2987-position model. The record is from RNAcentral. Lineage: Eukaryota; Metazoa; Arthropoda; Arachnida; Scorpiones; Scorpionidae.
GGUUUUUAGAAAUUAUUAAAAAUCAGGCCUGCUCAGUGCAAAAGUAAACAGCCGCGGUAUUAUGACCGUGCUAAGGUAGCAUAAUCAUUAGUCUUUUAAUUUUAGACUGGUAUGAAUGGUUAAACUAAGUAAUUUUGUCUUGGGAUAAUAUUUCGAAUUUUAUAUUUUAGUAAAAAACCUAAAAUUUCUUUUAGGGACGAGAAGACCCUGUCAAGCUUUACAAAUUAGGUUAUUAUUCUUAAAAUGGCUGAGAUUUGUUUUACUGGGGCAGUAGAUAAUAAAAUUUUAUUUAUAUAUUGAAGGGGUAAUUUUUGUUAAAUCAGGAAAUUCCUAAAAAAAAAUAAGUUACUGCAGGGAUAACAGCGUAAUUCUUUUUAAGAGUUCUUAUCAUCAUUAGAGUUUGCGACCUCGAUGUUGGAUUAAAAUUCCUAAUUCACGCAAUAGUGAAAAAAGGAAGUCUGUUCGACUUUUAAAAUUUUCCA